This is a non-coding RNA of Manis javanica (Malayan pangolin), 5269 nucleotides long. NCBI's taxonomy places the organism in Eukaryota, Metazoa, Chordata, Mammalia, Pholidota, Manidae. The record is from RefSeq and is a predicted model, not a curated record.
GCCGCCCGUCUUAAGUUUCGAGCGAUUUGGGGGAAGGAAGGAGGACCGAGAAGGAAAGCCAGGGGAGGGAGGGUCGGGGGCAGAAGGAAAAAAGCCGGGAGAGGAAGAAGAAAGAAAUCUUCCUUUUGCAGAAAGAGGCAUAUUGGGGCUUAGAGGUUACCAAAGCACAAGGUUUUACUUUGUUUUGCAACCGAGGCGUUCAGGGUGAGGCUGGCGCGAGGGAAGGUGGAUGGGGAGAAGAGGGCUUAGUGGAUGGCGAGAUUUAUUUAUCCCUUUGGAUCCUCUCGGGGAUGACUUUGGUGCUGGACUCCUAAAAAUACCUUUGAAGGACCCCCCACUGCCCCCCGCCCCUCUCCUCGGAACUAUUGGAGGUUGCCCUAAGAACAUCAGAUUUCUCCAGACCUCUCCACCCCUUCGCCCCAGGGAAGGCGGGAGGAAGUGCAGCCGGGACUGUGGCUUCGAGCCUCUGCGCUCCCGCGGACCCGCGUCCGCGUCCUCGUUACCACUCCAAAGCCGGGCAGACACAGCCCCUUUCCAAUGCUGCAUUUUUCUUCUGUGAACAUCAAGACGCAUCAAGAGACUUCCAAGUUAGCCUGCGGGCGCAGACGCCGCUUCGGUCCUGGCUUUAUCUCUAGGGAAACUUCCGUUUUUAGAGCCAGAUGCCAACAUUCCCGGACAGUUUAUGGCAUCCGGAUCCCUCAAGGGCGCUCAUCUGCAGUUUAGAGUGUUAGCAGCAGUUGCUUGUCGGCUGUCCUGGAGAAGAAAUCCCGAACACGGAUGUCCUCUGCUGGCCCUGAAGGGGGUUGGGGGGAGGUGCACAACUGUUCCCGAUGCUCUUAUCUGGGUUAGCAGAGUUUGUUGUGGUUUUCGAGGAAACAGCAUCUGGAUUACAUAAGGAUUCAAGUUUUUGCUUUACUUGUUUAUUGAAUACCUUGGCAAGAGGUGGCCCUUACUCUGAAACCAGAUAACCGAAUUUGGGUCUAAAACAGCCUUAGAUAGGGGCGACUAGAGGGGAGGAAAGGAGCAGAGCCACAGAAAGCAAACCACGGGGAUGUUUAUUUUUCUCCCUUUGGGUAUUUUUUUUAAGACCGGCCCAAGCUCCUCCACUUCUUGACGCACAAGCUAGUGACUGCAUUAACAACGCGCCUGAGCUACCACAACGGCGUAGCAGUCAUCCCUUCCCCCACACCACCACGAUCCGGCCCUAAUUCCUUCUAGGAUCGGCGCGCGGUCCUGUUUGCCCAGGGAUCUCAAGGGCACCAGGAAAAAUGCCGUGCUAAAUCCAAUUGCUUUCAACCGUCUGAUCUUCCUGUAAGGAGAUCACCUUUCAGCUCCGUUCAAAGAAAGCAAAGUUUGGGAAGUUCGGCGGAGGGGCCGAUUUAACUACCAGCACAGCAAAUAUUUAGUUACAAAUGCUGUGAAGGGCCCCGAUUUGUGGCCGCGCUUGGCUUUCACAAAGGAUUUUCCUGUGACUUUUGUUCCGGUCACCAAAUUAAAAAAGAAAAUUAACUUGAGCGAGAGAUAAGGUCUUGGAAAACAAUCCCGGGCCGCCCGCGAGCUGGCGGGCGCGGGGCUGGCGUCGCCGAGUCUACGCCGCCCCGAGGCGCGCGUCGUGGGGUCCGGCCCCAGCUGGGACCCUCAGCCGCCUCGCCCUCCCCGCGUCGGAGCGCAGCGCCCAGGCCUCCUUGGCGUCCGCCGGCGUCCGUGGGAAUCCGCCGCAGCCCCCUCCAGACGGCGACGAGGGCAGGCUUGCACGGAAUCGACCUACGUCUUAAUAUUAUAAUGCGGCACCAAAAGCAAAACCCCAGGCUCCAGCUUGAGAGCCCCUAACAAGAAACACAUUGUGUACUUUUUUUCUUUCUGGCCGAAGCCACGUUUGCGCGCCAGCCGGGACGCAGCGCCAAGUCCGUGACUUCAGUGGGGAGGAACCAGGGGAGGAACCCGCCCGCCCCGCAGCACGUGCGCGCCCGACGGGGGUGGCCUCCCCACCGCGACCCUCGCCGGGGCCGCCUCCAGGGCCCAGGCGGGGAGCCGAGGGGGGUGCGCUUGGCGGACACGGGUCCUGGGCGGGCGGCGCUUUGGGCAUAGCCCUUUGGCGACCAGAGGCCGGCACGGCCCCACACCUGAGGCCUGGCGGCACCAGCGCGGUAACUGUAAUCGCUGAUCUUAGGUUGAGUUGAUAGACUUGUUUAUAAAAUGAUUUUGACACCCAUCCCUGACCUCCUGCCUACAGCUGGAUGGCUUUCACUUCCCUGUCCUUUUUUCACUUUACUGUGUCCCCUUCCUCACCCCCACUCUGCCAAUCUCCAUGACAAUUUACAUACCUCUUUCCCAGUUAGACCGAAAUCACAGAACAUUUUGCAAGGCCCUUGAUACCUGUCACGUGUCACUGCUACCCCAUUCUGCAAAAGGGGACAGGAUCUAGGGCUGCAUCCUCUGGGAGGCAAGUGCUGGGGACUUCGGGAGCAGAAGGUACCUGUAGGGACUCCUGCAGCAGUCCCUCGGCACCUGCUAUCAGCAUUCUGGGGGUCCUAACAUCUUCCCAGUGCCAGGACCCAAUGACACCAGGGGCCUGGGUCUGCUUCCAUGCUGCAGCACCCAUCAGCAGGACCCUGGAGGAAAGGCCAGGUGAAUUAACUCCUAUAUUUUAUUUUAACCAUGCCUGCCUUUCUGGAACUAUGUGAGGAGCACAGAUAUUAUAUUUUAAAGAAAAAAGAGCCACAUGGUGGUCCUUUUUAAGGGAGAUUAAACAUUUGCACUGGGUAAGAAUAAUGAAUUAUUUACAAGCCUUUCACAGCUCACCUGUUUUGCCCUUUACCUUGACCUGAUGAGUUAGGCAGGGCAGAUGCUGACCCCAUUUUACAGAAGAAGCUGAGGCACAGAUGAAUGGGCCCAAACUCCCUGGGACAACCUUCUGUGACCAUGCAAAGGUGUGUGACCUUGACCCCAUGUGGGGUGUUGAUUACUUUUAUACCUUGCAGUUUGUUCCAGUCCUGCAGUGCUGGAUUACCCAAAGCCAGGGAUUUGCAAAACACUUUGUUCUCACCUUCCUCAGAAGUUAACACUGAGUGACUGAGCUUGACCCUUUAUUAACAAAAAGUCAACUUAGAUCUGGGGACUUUUCAAAGCUUAGUGUAUGUACCACCUUUACAUGCAGAGUCCUGGGGCCCACCUCUGGAACUGCUGAAUCAGAGAGUUUAGUGAGCAACUUAGGAACCAGCCUUUCAACAAGGAAGUGCUAAUGUGCGGGGUGCAGGGACCACACUCUGAGACUCCUCAGGUGAACAACUGGCUUAUUGAAUCACCCCUGCAGUUGGUGCAAUUUGCCUUCUGGGAAAGAAUGAGCCAUCUUGGACCUGAGGACCAACACAUUUGUUUUCAGAAAACUUAAGAGGACAAGAGUCUCCUGUGAUACUGUUUGCCCUUCAGAGGACACCACUGGUAUGAAGACGGUAAGGCUUGAGUGCUGAGAAGGGGCAAUAGCUGUUGGCAGCUGCCCAAAAGCCUCUAUCUUGCCCUGUGACCCCAUCCCCACGUGGCCACUUCUGAUCCUGAGAAAAGAGGCAGGAAUGGGUUGAUGCAACUACAAUUCAUUACAUCCUGCUUUGAAGUCAUGAGUCCCGUAUUCCCAGUCAGGGGCCCCAAUAAAAUGCAGAAGAGCAGAACUCUUGCAAUAAAGUGUCCCAGUUCUUUUGGCCACUGCUAGUGUGUGUGGGGGGGUGUGCUUGGAGGGAGGUGGGAGCUAAAGGCUCCCGCCUCUGUCCCUUUCAAGAACCCUUGAAAAAGCCUUGGCCUUUAGGGGCAGCUUUAACAUGGCCCUCUGUUUCUUUAUGCUUCGUGAGCAUCUGCACACCUGACUGCAGUGUGUCCCCAGGUGAGUCGCGGUGAGCUCUGGGCUCCCAGCUUCUCCAUCUGCAUGUUGAGGUUUAAAUAAGGUAGAAGACCAGAGGAAGCAUUUCAACUCGGAAUUUACCCCUCAAAGUGAGUCUGAGAACCGGCAGCCUGGGCACACUGAGAAAUGCAGGAUGUCGGGAUCUAACCCGUGAGAAUGAACCGGAAGCUGCAAUUAACCAGAGCCUGGAUGGCUCCUGGGCAGCGAAGCUGAGACGUGUGGAACUGACAUUCUAUCUGAGACUGUGGACAGAGCCAUCUAGCAAAAAUGCUCACACACUCACCUUUAAAGUAGCAUCUUUUCAAGAGCAACACCAUCCCUUUGAAUCACUUAGCAGACUUAACAGCACUGCUGUCUCUGGCUUUCACAUUGACCAGCAGCGCAGGGAGCAACGGUCCCAUUUUGCAGAUUAAGUGGCUGAGUGCAAAGGUUCCCUAUGGGCCGCUGUGUCCUGAUGACCGCCCUUGGGGGAAAGAAAGGCCACGCUGUCUGUGGGGCUACAGACGGAGCGCCCUGCACAGGUCCAUGCGUGGGACGUCUUCUGGGCGGUGUGCCAGGGGAAAGCUGCACACUUGGGUGCGUGUGCCUUGUCCCAGCACCAUGGCCAGGGCAGGCGGCCCUUUUGAUCCUGUUUCCCUGUUCAUAAGUGUGACUGGUGACAGCACCGCCCUCUGAAUGCGAUUUUGAACAUUCCAAGCACUUCAGAUGUACUACCUGGAAGAAUGUAAAUGCUCAAUAAAUAGGGUGGCCAGAUAAGAUGCAGAACAUCCAUUUACAUUUAAUUUUCAGGUAAACAAUGAGGGUUUUUUUAGUGAUAGUCCCCGUAUUUUAUCCGCUAAAUCUAACAACCUUUUCAGUAAAUGAUCACUGUGACAGCCACAACCACUCCUUUUGACAGAGCCUAAGAAUCUGUAAAGAAGUAGGAACUGGCUUUUAUUUACCAGCUGGGACUAGUUAAGAUAACAGGCGAGAAGAUAACGUGUAGAAUGUGGAGCACAGCCAAACCGCUGUGGAGCCGUCAGGACCAGAACGGCCAGAGUAGGCCACCGCAGGGCUCUUUCGAAAGCUGCAGUUUCCAUAGACCCUCUUGGACCUAAAUGGGUCCUCAGCUCCCCUCCACUGUUCUGCGCAUGCCUGCUCCUCUUAUCAGGUCCCAAUCCAUUUCCAGGGCAGGUGUCUGUGGCUGAGUUAGCUGCUGCAGUGCGGACGGCUGUAACAAGCAAACCCGAGGGUGUGUAACCACCUCCCCAGGCUGAGGUCCGCCUGUCACUCAAAGUCCAAAGAGGGUGUUAGCAACGGCAGGCAGCUCUGCCCUGAGCUGUGACUCAGGGAUGCAGGCUCGGCCCGUCUUUGUGGCUCUGCCAUGUUCACCGUGUG